GACGAACGCUGGCGGCGUGCUUAACACAUGCAAGUCGAACGGAAAGGCCCUGCUUUUGUGGGGUGCUCGAGUGGCGAACGGGUGAGUAACACGUGAGUAACCUGCCCUGGACUUUGGGAUAACUUCAGGAAACUGGGGCUAAUACCGGAUAGGAGCUCCUGCUGCAUGGUGGGGGUUGGAAAGUUUCGGCGGUUGGGGAUGGACUCGGGGCUUAUCAGUUUGUUGGUGGGGUAGUGGCUUACCAAGGCUUUGGCGGGUAGCCGGCCUGAGAGGGUGACCGGCCACAUUGGGACUGAGAGACGGCCCAGACUCCUACGGGAGGCAGCAGUGGGGAAUAUUGCACAAUGGGCGCAAGCCUGAUGCAGCAACGCCGCGUGCGGGAUGACGGCCUUCGGGUUGUAAACCGCUUUCGCCUGUGACGAAGCGUGAGUGACGGUAAUGGGUAAAGAAGCACCGGCUAACUACGUG
Molecule: ribosomal RNA, 468 nt
Filed under: uncultured bacterium
Lineage: Bacteria
Description: partial 16S ribosomal RNA
Rfam family: Bacterial small subunit ribosomal RNA
Source: RNAcentral